UACAGAGGGGGCAAGCGUUGUUCGGAAUUACUGGGCGUAAAGGGCUCGUAGGCGGCCAACUAAGUCAUACGUGAAAUCCCUCGGCUUAACCGGGGAACUGCGUCUGAUACUGGAUGGCUUGAGUUCGGGAGAGGGAUGCGGAAUUCCAGGUGUAGCGGUGAAAUGCGUAGAUAUCUGGAGGAACACCGGUGGCGAAGGCGGCAUCCUGGACCGACACUGACGCUGAGGAGCGAAAGCCAGGGGAGCAAACGGG
This 253-nucleotide ribosomal RNA is filed under the name uncultured bacterium. RNAcentral's name for it is "partial 16S ribosomal RNA". It matches the Rfam family "Bacterial small subunit ribosomal RNA", at positions 524 to 776 of the family's 1533-position model. The record is from RNAcentral.